UCCGAGUCGGCUGAAGCACAGUAAACACAGUCGGCCCGAUACUGGCUGAGUGCUGCCACUGUUGGCGGAGUUUCAAGUCGGCUGAGGCACUGUCCCCUUGAAUGGGCCGAUACUGACAAGCAGUAGUUGGGCUGGUUACUGUGUUUCUUAUUUGGCCCGAUUGUGGUUCGACGGGCUACUGCCAGUGUUCGAAGCAAUUUCGGCAGAUGGAUGUCAUACAGUGUGUGGCCGGAUACUUCAGGGACGAGCACUGAUCAGUAUCACGGCUGUUGGCGGCAAAAAUGAAACAUUUAGCGACAGACGGACACUAAACGUACAUGGCCCAAUUCUGUAAAGUGACUUUCGGCCCAUUACCUGUGGAAGAGCCAUAAGCAGAGUACCGUUCAGUUUGAAACCAGGGCGGCGCGAAACUGUCUCGUUUUGGACACUGGCUGUGGCAACACUGACCAGAGACCUGCAAUCCUUUGGAUGAAGAAGGCUACAUUUGUGAACCAUUUCUUGUGUUGGUUAAACAGGAGAUAUGAAGAGUUCUUGAUGACAUGCUGUCCAUGCAUCUCAAAUUGAGAAGGAUGGAUGGAAAGAACUCUGACCAACCCCCAACUGAGAGAGCUGAGGUGGCUAUCAUUUGGAGACACCCCCCGACUGCUAGUGCUGCUGAAACAGGUGGAGGCAACAAUGAAGCAGCAACAGAAAGAGAAGGCAGGUGGCAAA
Molecule: long non-coding RNA, 711 nt
Organism: Alosa alosa (allis shad)
Lineage: Eukaryota; Metazoa; Chordata; Actinopteri; Clupeiformes; Clupeidae
Exons: 4
Source: RefSeq, a predicted model, not a curated record